UGAAGUAUAUACACAGUGGCGCCUUAUUGGAUUGGCGUCAGGAUGAUAAGACAGGUAGCUUUGGCAAAUCCGGGCUACUGCUUUAAUGCAACUAUCAGUCAUUUUGGGCACUCUGCGGCUACGGCCAGGGAGGACUGCUGUUAAGAGACUUCCAAGAAAAACUUCUAAACUUAUUACGCGUACGACCGUACCGCAAACCGACACAGGUGUGCAGCUUGAGUAGAGUAAGGCGAACGAGUGAGUGUACUCCAAGGAACUCGGCAAAAAAUCGGCCGUACCUUCGGAAUAAGGCCUGCCCUUUGUUAACUCAAGGGGCCGCAGCGAAAGAUUCCCUGGCGACUGUUUACCAAAAACACAGCUCCCUGCGAACUCGUAAGAGGAUGUGUAGGGGGUGACACUUGACCAAUGCCAGAAGGUCAACUACGGCCGGUGCUAUGUCGCAAGAUGUAGUGCUGACGCUGUAUAAGCCCUGGUGAAUGUCGGCGAUAACUAUAAUCGUCCUAAGGUAGCGAAAUUCCUUGUCUGGUAAGCUCAGACGCGCACGAAUAGUGUAACGACUGGGGAACUGUCUCGGAGUACAGCUCGGUGAAAAUACAGUACCGGUGAAGAUGCCGGUUACCUGCAGAUAGACGAAAAGACCCCAGAAGCUUUACUGUAGCUUGAUAUUGCGUAUACGAGUUCACUGCGUAGCAUAGGUGGGAGAGGUUGAGGUCGGGGUUUUGGCUCCGGCGGACUCGUCAGUGAAAUACCACUCUGUGUUCUUGUAUGCGCUAACCGGCAGGAUUAAACCCUGUCGAGACAGUAUCUGGUAGGCAGUUUUAGUGGGGCGCUAUCCUCCCAAAAAGUAACGGAGGAGUGUAUUAAGGUCGGCUAGGCGCGAAUGGAAACCGUGCCGAUAGCGCAAUGGCAAAAGCCGGCUUGACUGUAAGUCGUAAAUGACGAGCAGGUGCGAAAGCAGACCAUAGUGAACCGACCAUAGGCAUUAGAUGCUGUGGAAGAUUAUCUGACAAAAGCUACUCUGGGGAUAACAGGCUAGUUCCGCCUAAGCGUCCAUAGCGACGGCGGAGUUCGGCGCCUCGAUGUCGGCUCACCAUAUCCCGGGGCUGAAGAAGGUCCCAAGGGUUUGGCUGUUCGCCAAUUAAAAUGGUACGCGAGCUGGGUUCAGACCGUCGUGAGACAGGUUGGUCUCCUAUCUACUGCAGGCGUCGAUUCUUGAUGAGAUUUGCUCCUAGUACGAGAGGACCGGAGUGAACUAACCACUGGUCUGGCUGCUGUCCUGCCAAGGGCACCGCAGCGUAGCUAUGUUGGGAAAGGAUAAGCGCUGAAAGCAUCUAAGCGCGAAGCCAGCUCAAAGAUGAGGAAUCAUUACGAUCCGUUAGAGAUGAUGACGUUGAUAGGCUUUAGGUGUACGCAUAGUAAUGUGCUGAGCCGAGAAGUACUAAUCGACC
RNAcentral lists this ribosomal RNA (1448 nucleotides) under metagenome. Its description in RNAcentral is "bacterial LSU rRNA". It matches the Rfam family "Bacterial large subunit ribosomal RNA", at positions 1473 to 2910 of the family's 2925-position model. The record is from RNAcentral.